GUGGGGAAUUUUGGACAAUGGGCGCAAGCCUGAUCCAGCAAUGCCGCGUGCAGGAAGAAGGCCUUCGGGUUGUAAACUGCUUUUGUACGGAACGAAACGGUCCUGGUUAAUGCCUGGGGCUAAUGACGGUACCGUAAGAAUAAGCACCGGCUAACUACGUGCCAGCAGCCGCGGUAAUACGUAGGGUGCAAGCGUUAAUCGGAAUUACUGGGCGUAAAGCGUGCGCAGGCGGUUUUGUAAGACAGGCGUGAAAUCCCCGGGCUCAACCUGGGAAUUGCGCUUGUGACUGCAAGGCUGGAGUGCGGCAGAGGGGGAUGGAAUUCCGCGUGUAGCAGUGAAAUGCGUAGAUAUGCGGAGGAACACCGAUGGCGAAGGCAAUCCCCUGGGCCUGCACUGACGCUCAUGCACGAAAGCGUGGGGAGCAAACAGGAUUAGAUACCCCGGUAGUCC
This 450-nucleotide ribosomal RNA is filed under the name uncultured bacterium. Its description in RNAcentral is "partial 16S ribosomal RNA". It matches the Rfam family "Bacterial small subunit ribosomal RNA", at positions 354 to 796 of the family's 1533-position model. The record is from RNAcentral.